This 425-nucleotide ribosomal RNA is filed under the name uncultured bacterium. Its description in RNAcentral is "partial 16S ribosomal RNA". It matches the Rfam family "Bacterial small subunit ribosomal RNA", at positions 354 to 796 of the family's 1533-position model. The record is from RNAcentral.
GUGGGGAAUCUUGCGCAAUGGGCGAAAGCCUGACGCAGCCAUGCCGCGUGAAUGAUGAAGGUCUUAGGAUUGUAAAAUUCUUUCACCGGGGACGAUAAUGACGGUACCCGGAGAAGAAGCUCCGGCUAACUUCGUGCCAGCAGCCGCGGUAAUACGAAGUGGGCUAGCGUUGCUCGGAAUUACUGGGCGUAAAGGGCGCGUAGGCGGACAGCUUAGUCAGAGGUGAAAGCCCAGGGCUCAACCUUGGAAUUGCCUUUGAUACUGGCUGGCUUGAGUUUGGGAGAGGUGAGAGGAACUCCGAGUGUAGAGGUGAAAUUCGUAGAUAGUCGGAAGAACACCAGUGGCGAAGGCGACUCACUGGCCCAAUACUGACGCUGAGGCGCGAAAGCGUGGGGAGCAAACAGGAUUAGAUACCCGUGUAGUCC